CACACGACACACGCACAACCCUCCGCGCGCGCUCACACUUGGGAAUGACCAGAAGAGCGCAGAUGGCACGACAGAUAAGCCUCCGCGUUGCUCACUUUAGGGAAGCCACUCGACACGAGAUUUUAAACGAUUUCAACUUCAGGAUACGAGAUGUAUAUUGUAUUUGACAGACAUUCGCGUUGUGCGUGUUUAUGGAAAUCGACCGAAUUAUUUCGGCUAUGCGUAAUACUCCAUAGCAUACACUGGAAGACGAAGUUACUCUACUACGAUAUGACAGAACCAGGAAUGGAGAACUGCUUGUAGCUGCCAGCUGGACCAUGACUGAGGAAAAGUGGACUGAGGAGAGGUGGACUCACAAGCAAGUCAGUCAGAUGGGCUGUAGGAGAUGACCAGUGUCUGAGAUGCACAGGGACUGCUGCCAUAGAGAUUUCCAUUUGUCCUGUACACUGGGUAUGUCUAUGUUAAUGCAAGAACGUUUGUGCAUUGUUAUUACAACGUAAUUAACUGUUAAUUUUAUUGAAUUGUUCUUUGUUACCUGUGUGCUGUUUAAUUGAGAUGAUCAUGUGGACCUUUUUGCCCCUCGAGACGUAGCUGGGCCACGUGUGCCACUGCUGUGCCAAAAGCGGGCAAACAGAAACUGGCUUGAGUCGGGCCUGCAUGCCCUGUGCAGUGGGCUGUGGGCAUGGAAAUCAGCCAAAUAAAAACACAGUAAAGCCAACCACACAUCACCUCCAUCCCUGCAAUGAAGAGUAUUGUACAUAUAGUUCUAGUAUGCGAGUUACUUGGCAAUACAGCAUAUUUCUCCAUUAAUAAUUAAAAUUCUCAGCUCUCCCAUGACUGUAAUAUGUCAUAAUUCACAUAAUUUACUGUACAACAUGAACUGCAAAGUAUGUCAUAGGGGAUGCAAUAAAGAACUGCUAGCUUAAAUUAUGUAUCUUGGGAAAUUUAAACACAGUGUUGUCUUUUCUUCAGUUUUGUCUGAUAAUAUUGCUCGGCCCAUGAGACACAGACAUUCCCUAAUUCUAUUUUUCAUUUGUCAUAUGCCAAGACCAAUUUAGUUCACCCUUGAAGAGUCCCCUAUGAGAGUCUCCCACGUGACCAUUUGAAACUUUGAAAUGGAGAAGCUACAUGAUCAAGGACAUUGUCCUCUUCCUUGCGGUCUUCACCAUGCUGGAGCUACAUUGGCAUACAGUACAUGGGUCAAGGACAUCCACUGUGUUCUGUGAGGAGGCUGCUGCCCAACCAAAGUCUGGAGAAUUGCACGUUUUUCCAAGUUCAACUGUACAAAACGGUGGUUAGUGGCAAGGCACCAAGAAGGGUCCUGGCUGUGUGGGCCUUGUCUUGCAGUGUAGCUUUCAUCCCAAAGAGUUGGCUGACCUACAUUGCGGUUUUGUUCUGUGCUGAAUGAAUAUGUGAAUAAACAAAAAUCUUUUGAAAUUCCUAUUUGAAGCUCUUAUUCAGUCAGCACAAUGCCUUCGCAGUUCCUGAGACACACAGGAACUAGCCUACAGGUUUUUGGAUGAUGGAUUAUUUUUGUGU
Long non-coding RNA from Engraulis encrasicolus (European anchovy), 1539 nucleotides. RefSeq lists it as uncharacterized. The transcript has 4 exons. The record is from RefSeq and is a predicted model, not a curated record. NCBI's taxonomy places the organism in Eukaryota, Metazoa, Chordata, Actinopteri, Clupeiformes, Engraulidae.